UAGACUAGGGAGGGUUGCUACAGGUUAAUUGGAGCACCUGCAGUCAAUUAAGGCCCUGUCAGGAACCUAAUAAAAGCCCCUGCUUCAGGCAGACAGAAAAAAGGAGGAAGGAGAGAGGACUAGAGCUUGGAGGCAUGCUGUGAGACUUGAAAGAUCAGAGAACUGCCGUAAGGGAGACUCUACCCCAGUGUCUAAGGACUGACGGUACCCCACCCAAGGGGGAAGAGGUCCUCAGGAAAAUUUUGGCAACCUGCCAGAACAAUAACUGAACAUUAUUGCAGCAGCAGCAGGAGGAGGAGGAACUCUGGGGACCAGACAGCCUUUCUGGGACUGGGGAAACUGGAUCAGACUCCCCAUGGCACAUGGCCCCCAUGUUCCAGCCCACCCCAGACAGACCAAGUCUCCCAAUACAGCAGGGAGACUCCUGUUUGCAACCAAAACCUCCUCAUUCCCAAUUUAAUGUUAUUUCCUGGAUAAAAAUAACAUUGCCUGGAAUCCGUGGCAGCCACACAUGCACAUCAGCCAUUGUUUGGAGAAACUCUAGCCAGAGCUGUCCCUUGGGUAGUACGAAUCGGGGUGACAGCUCCAGGCUUUGGGGGGCCAUGCAGGCCGGUGCGAUUAGCUGGCGCAGUCGGUCCCAGAAAAGACAAAUCCGUCACUUCUGCACCAGGCCCUGCCGCUCUGGGCCCCAUGACUUGGGGGUCCUCACGGGCUGGUGUGAUUGCUCAGCACAGUCAGUCCCGGAAGAGACGAAUCCAUCUCUUCUGCCCCAGGCUCUGCACCCCGCUGGGGAUGGCCCUGACAUAUGGCAGAUGCACAACAUGCUGGCCACCGAGCAUUAUUCUGAGGACGAGGCUAUCAAAGGGAGGGAGGCAGCGGUUACCACCUCAGUUCCUUCCACUACUAAUGCUGAGCCAGUAGAAAACAGGACCUCACAAAACAGAGGAAGGAGGGCAGGGCAUGUGAAU
This is a long non-coding RNA of Chelonia mydas (Green sea turtle), 968 nucleotides long. RefSeq lists it as uncharacterized. Lineage: Eukaryota; Metazoa; Chordata; Testudines; Cheloniidae. The record is from RefSeq and is a predicted model, not a curated record. The transcript has 3 exons.